This 1103-nucleotide long non-coding RNA is filed under the name Anas platyrhynchos platyrhynchos (common mallard). RNAcentral describes it as "lncRNA (ENSAPLG00000029232.1)". The record is from RNAcentral. Lineage: Eukaryota; Metazoa; Chordata; Aves; Anseriformes; Anatidae.
GGUAUUUGGUGUAAAUGUUUUGUAGGCAACUGUAUUUGGCUUGAAGGAGGUCUUCGGGUUGAGUUAUGUAUACCUCAAGGCUUUCUGGAUGUACAUGUAUAUAGCAUAGAGAAGGUGCUAAUCUGAUGCACACAGUGUGUUAUAUGGCAGAAAAAAAGUGAGCAAGCAAAACUUGCAGUGCUCCAGCACCAUCAAACAGCCCAACACAAAUUAAUAGACUACAAGUCCUCUAAUGUUCAGGUCUCUUACAGUGGACAGAAGGUGAAGAGGGAUGUGCCAAGAGAUAUGCUCAACACCAUCGUUCUGCAGCAAUCACUCAUACUAUUCUCUGCCUUCUAUUCAGUCAUGAGAGAGACUAACAGCAGGUACAAGCUUAGACAAGAAGGUGUUUGCAGAAGCUGGAGAAGACAGGUUGUGUCCAUCUUGCUGCUUUGUGCCAUACACAAGGUAAGAGUUUUCUUCCAAAAAGAGACAUUCUAAAGAGGAAGGUUUGGGACUUUUAUUUGUUAUAUUUUUAAAGGGAAAAGUCUGAUCUUGAUUGCCCUAAAAAAUUGUGAUUCGUUUGUAAUGCAAGCAACCAGGCAAGUGAAAUGCACUUAAUUGAAAGAGGAAAUCAUUUUAGUCAGCUUCAAAUUCUUUUUGCUUCAAAUGCUUAUUCAGCUCAAAUGUUUGUACGAAAAGAUGCUCUGGUGAAAAAUUGAACCCUAUGAUUAAUGACCAAAAUCUUCCCAUCCACACCCAUUCAUCUAAGCCAUCCAAGAAAUCUUUCAAAAACAAAAAAGAUUUAUUUGAGGUCUUUAAGUACACAGCAGGCAGGAAAAAAAAAAAAAUUAAACACAGGUACUUGUGUAGCUUUUAUUUCAUAAAGAAAUGAAAAGUGGCACUAGUAUAUGUGUGUGUGUUUUUCCCCCCAUACAACAACUUAUAUUCUGUUAUUAAAGACUUGCUUGGAUAUCCCCACUUUGCUAUGCAUGAUAUUUUUAGCAUUACCUGAGCUUUCUUCUUAGGUCCAUUUCAUUUGCCAGACAUUCCAGCUAAAGAAACGCUUUGGACCUCAGAGGGUAGACACCAACAGUCCAAUGGCAAAAGACUGCUGUUAGGCU